ACCCGCUGAACUUAAGCAUAUCAAUAAGCGGAGGAAAAGAAACCAACAGGGAUUGCCCUAGUAACGGCGAGUGAAGCGGCAACAGCUCAAAUUUGAAAUCUGGCCUUCUGGUCCGAAUUGUAAUUUGUAGAGGAUGAUUUUGGUGCGGUACUUUCCGAGUUCCCUGGAACGGGACGCCUUAGAGGGUGAGAGCCCCGUACGGUUGGAUGCCUAGCCUCUGUAAAUCUCCUUCGACGAGUCGAGUAGUUUGGGAAUGCUGCUCUAAAUGGGAGGUAAAUUUCUUCUAAUGCUAAAUACUAGCCAGAGACCGAUAGCGCACAAGUAGAGUGAUCGAAAGAUGAAAAGCACUUUGAAAAGAGGGUUAAACAGCACGUGAAAUUGUUGAAAGGGAAGCGCUUAUGACCAGACUUUUUCUAGGCGGAUCAUCCGGUGUUCUCACCGGUGCACUUCGUCUAGUUUAGGCCAGCAUCGGUUUCUAUAGGGAGAUAAAAGCUUCAGGAAUGUGACUCCUCCGGGAGUGUUAUAGCCUGUUGUAUAAUAUCCUUACGGGGACCGAGGUACGCGCUCUGCAAGGAUGCUGGCAUAAUGGUCAUCAGCGACCCGUCUUGAAACACGG
This 616-nucleotide ribosomal RNA is filed under the name uncultured fungus. RNAcentral describes it as "eukaryotic LSU rRNA". It matches the Rfam family "Eukaryotic large subunit ribosomal RNA", at positions 23 to 664 of the family's 3401-position model. Lineage: Eukaryota; Fungi. The record is from RNAcentral.